RNAcentral lists this ribosomal RNA (255 nucleotides) under uncultured bacterium. Its description in RNAcentral is "partial 16S ribosomal RNA". It matches the Rfam family "Bacterial small subunit ribosomal RNA", at positions 29 to 276 of the family's 1533-position model. The record is from RNAcentral.
AACGAACGCUGGCGGCGCGCCUAAUACAUGCAAGUCGAGCGAGAAGACGUAGCAAUACGUUUGUAAAGCGGCGAACGGGUGAGGAAUACAUGGGUAACCUACCCUCGAGUGGGGAUAACUAGCCGAAAGGUUAGCUAAUACCGCAUACGCUUCCCGGACUGCGGUUCGGGAAAGAAAGCGAUACCGUGGGUAUCGCGCUCUUGGAUGGGCUCAUGUCCUAUCAGCUUGUUGGUGAGGAAUGGCUCACCAAGGCUU